Molecule: ribosomal RNA, 465 nt
Filed under: Vreelandella stevensii
Lineage: Bacteria; Pseudomonadati; Pseudomonadota; Gammaproteobacteria; Oceanospirillales; Halomonadaceae
Description: partial 16S ribosomal RNA
Rfam family: Bacterial small subunit ribosomal RNA
Source: RNAcentral
CCUACGGGGGGCUGCAGUGGGGAAUAUUGGACAAUGGGGGGAACCCUGAUCCAGCCAUGCCGCGUGUGUGAAGAAGGCCCUCGGGUUGUAAAGCACUUUCAGUGAGGAAGAACGCCUGGUGGUUAAUACCCAUCAGGAAAGACAUCACUCACAGAAGAAGCACCGGCUAACUCCGUGCCAGCAGCCGCGGUAAUACGGAGGGUGCGAGCGUUAAUCGGAAUUACUGGGCGUAAAGCGCGCGUAGGUGGCUUGAUAAGCCGGUUGUGAAAGCCCCGGGCUCAACCUGGGAACGGCAUCCGGAACUGUCAAGCUAGAGUGCAGGAGAGGAAGGUAGAAUUCCCGGUGUAGCGGUGAAAUGCGUAGAGAUCGGGAGGAAAACCAGUGGCGAAGGCGGCCUUCUGGACUGACACUGACACUGAGGUGCGAAAGCGUGGGUAGCAAACAGGAUUAGAUACCCCGGUAGUC